GGCUCACCUACGUAAGUCUAUGCACAGAAGGAAUGGCUAUACUUACAGGCACAAACCAGAAAGUGACAGAGCCAAGUAUCGAACCCAGGAUUUCUGGCUUAAGAGGCAGAGUUGGUGCCACUAACUCACGGAUGCUGAGACAUCUACUUCAGUGAGAUAGCAUUUACCCCUGAGGGGAAAAGGGGAGAUCAGAGUGGAAAAUUCAGCACCUAUUCUUGGUAGAAGGCUAGAAAAGAAGCAGCAGCAAGGCUCUUCUACGGUUGAGGGCCAACUGUCUGUGGCUGAGUUGCUGCUGAGAGGCCUGCCCUGGCUUCUCCCCAGGGGCCUGGCCCUGGGCUGGAGAGCACAGCCCCCAAGGCUGCCUUCCCGUGGACAUGCAGCUGAACGUUAAUUGGCUUUUGUCCCCUUCCCAGGCAGGGCACAGCAGAAGCAGACCCUUUUCAUGUGGCAGGUUUCUGGCCGAUGAUGUAUGACCUGUUGGCGCUCCUGAAUGGUGCCCUUUGUUUCAGGAUAUCCCAUGUGCCCCCUUUUUAUUGAGCUGUUGAUUCAGAGGCGCAGGAAAGUUCCACAAAUCCCACUGCAGGCCCGGCUCUGGCCAUGCCCAGGUGGGGAAGCCCAGGGACCUCACGCUUCCCAGGAAGCUGGCAGGAAGCCGUGGGCUGCCUCGAGGCAAAAUACCCCUUUAAGAAGUGGCUUUCUUCAUGUCAGACUCAGCCAACCAUGUGUUUGGAGAGAACCUGGGAACAUCCGCGUUGCCCCCAGCCCUCUGCCUGGGCUCUAGAAGGUGUGGAGUGUCCCAGAUGUGCUGUCUUCACCCAGAAAGAAAAGAGCGCAGCAGGUGGGAGUUAGGAAGAGCCCUCUCACUUCCCUGUCCCCUGAGCCAAGCUCAGUUAACAUCUUUCUCCAUGACCAAGAAUCCCAAGGUGUGCGCCAGCAGCUAAGGGAGGAUGGAGCUUGGCUUCCUGUUCUGCAGGAAGAAGUCCAGCCAGAGAGCAGCCUAGAGCCACAAAAGGACUCUGGAGAAACAGGAGACAAGGUUGAGUCUUUACCCAGCAGGAAGUCUCAUCUCAGUCCUGACAGGGCAAGGAUUCAAGGGCAUGCCUCCCUUGCCUUCUCUUUUCCUGGGUUCCUAGACCAGCCUGCAGUGGAGAUGGUGGAUGCGGGUAAGCAGCUUUGGGGAAGGAGCAAUGAGGGGCAGGGCAGGUGGCAAGGCUGUAAGGAGGGAGACCCAGCAGCGCCUUCCUAUGCCUGCCUCUUCCAAUCUAGGGUGAACCUGGGCUGGAUUUCACCUUGCUUUUCCUCUCUCCAUCUUGUGGCCAAGCUUUAGGGACCUGGCAAAGGUGCAGGCGAAUGGGGACUUUGCCAGGCCUUGACUCACCCAUUCUGGGGUGAUGGUGGUGAUGAGCUCAUGCCCCUGACUGCUCCAGGAAGCCCCCCGCACUGACUCAAACCUGCUCUUCAGUUCCUUUUCUGAAGCAGCUGCAUAAAUCCCACCAGGAAUUCCCUACUUACGAGACCACUUCCCCCAAAUGGCCAGCUUAUGUGUUGACUGCUGAAAGGAGACAGAUUCCUGCUUUACUGCCUGCCCGCCCUUCUGGGGUCUUUGUGGACCCUGGAGUCCAGAUUCAUAACCCAGGGAGUAGCAUGAGAUCAAAGGUGCAAUUGCUCUGUGGUCCUAGGUGACUUCACUGUGAGCUCAGAGGCUCCACGGUACACAUGUUCAGAGGUACUGAGGGCCUUACCUGACACUUGAGAAAAAGAAUACCAGCAAAAAAGAGGCAGAGGCCGUUGCAGAGCCAAGAAAUGACAAGUCAGUAAUAAAGAGCAUCCACACACUUCACAGUUGUAAAAUGGCUUUAUGUUCCGAUAUGCAAAAUAAAACAUCCAUGCUAUAUAACAAAACACUUGAAGUUCCAUAUCACCU
Molecule: long non-coding RNA, 1924 nt
Filed under: Homo sapiens (human)
Lineage: Eukaryota; Metazoa; Chordata; Mammalia; Primates; Hominidae
Description: HSALNT0243501
Source: RNAcentral